This 1601-nucleotide ribosomal RNA is filed under the name Marinomonas phaeophyticola. RNAcentral describes it as "partial 23S ribosomal RNA". It matches the Rfam family "Bacterial large subunit ribosomal RNA", at positions 1342 to 2925 of the family's 2925-position model. Lineage: Bacteria; Pseudomonadati; Pseudomonadota; Gammaproteobacteria; Oceanospirillales; Oceanospirillaceae. The record is from RNAcentral.
AGACCAAGGUUUCCUGUCCCAUGCUAAUCAGGGCAGGGUGAGUCGGCCCCUAAGGCGAGGCAGAAAUGCGUAGUCGAUGGGAAACAGGUUAAUAUUCCUGUACUUAUGUAUAUUGCGAUGGAGAGACGGAGAAGGCUAGGCUAGCACGGCGAUGGUUGUCCGUGUUUAAGGUGGUAGGUUGAGAGCUUAGGUAAAUCCGGGCCCUCUUAAGACCGAGAACUGAUGACGAGUCCUCUUUUGGACGAAGUAGUUGAUGCCAUGCUUCCAGGAAAAACUUCUAAGCUUCAGAUAUACAUGAACCGUACCCCAAACCGACACAGGUGGUCAGGUAGAGAAUACCAAGGCGCUUGAGAGAACUCGGGUGAAGGAACUAGGCAAAAUGGCACCGUAACUUCGGGAGAAGGUGCGCCGGUUAGUGUGAAGGAUUUACUCCGUAAGCAUUGAUCGGUCGAAGAUACCAGGUGGCUGCGACUGUUUAUUAAAAACACAGCACUCUGCAAACACGAAAGUGGACGUAUAGGGUGUGACGCCUGCCCGGUGCUGGAAGGUUAAUUGAUGGGGUUAGCGUAAGCGAAGCUCUUGAUCGAAGCCCCAGUAAACGGCGGCCGUAACUAUAACGGUCCUAAGGUAGCGAAAUUCCUUGUCGGGUAAGUUCCGACCUGCACGAAUGGCGUAACGAUGGCCACACUGUCUCCACCCGAGACUCAGUGAAAUUGAAAUCGCAGUGAAGAUGCUGUGUAUCCGCGGCUAGACGGAAAGACCCCGUGAACCUUUACUAUAGCUUCACAGUGAACUUUGAACCUACUUGUGUAGGAUAGGUGGGAGGCUUUGAAACUAGGACGCCAGUUCUAGUGGAGCCAAACUUGAAAUACCACCCUGGUAUGUUUGAGGUUCUAACUCAGGUCCCUUAUCGGGAUCGAGGACACUGUGUGGUGGGUAGUUUGACUGGGGCGGUCUCCUCCCAAAGAGUAACGGAGGAGCACGAAGGUGUGCUCAGCAUGGUCGGAAAUCAUGCGUAGAGUGUAAAGGCAAAAGCGCGCUUAACUGCGAGACAGACACGUCGAGCAGGUACGAAAGUAGGUCUUAGUGAUCCGGUGGUUCUGUAUGGAAGGGCCAUCGCUCAACGGAUAAAAGGUACUCCGGGGAUAACAGGCUGAUACCGCCCAAGAGUUCACAUCGACGGCGGUGUUUGGCACCUCGAUGUCGGCUCAUCACAUCCUGGGGCUGAAGCCGGUCCCAAGGGUAUGGCUGUUCGCCAUUUAAAGUGGUACGCGAGCUGGGUUUAGAACGUCGUGAGACAGUUCGGUCCCUAUCUGCCGUGGACGUUUGAGAUUUGAGAGGAGCUGCUCCUAGUACGAGAGGACCGGAGUGGACGAACCUCUGGUGUUCCGGUUGUCACGCCAGUGGCAUUGCCGGGUAGCUAUGUUCGGACGGGAUAACCGCUGAAAGCAUCUAAGCGGGAAGCCUCCCUCAAGAUGAGAUCUCACUGGGACAUAAGUCCCCUAAAGAGCCGUUGAAGACUACGACGUUGAUAGGUUGGGUGUGUAAGUGCUGUGAGGCAUUGAGCUAACCAAUACUAAUUGCUCGUGAGGCUUGACCAU